RNAcentral lists this long non-coding RNA (1154 nucleotides) under Monodelphis domestica (gray short-tailed opossum). RNAcentral's name for it is "lncRNA (ENSMODG00000040914.1)". Lineage: Eukaryota; Metazoa; Chordata; Mammalia; Didelphimorphia; Didelphidae. The record is from RNAcentral.
AAACAACGAAAAAAAAAAUCUAGAUCCGAAUUCCAGGAGGGUAAACUUUGCAGCCACGUCACACGUCAGCAAAUUUGCACAGAUAUUAUAUUGCCUCCCCCCUUUUUUAUUUUUUUCGGAGCCCAUUGUACUUAACUGAAUUUUAUAACGCUGAUCGAUAUCUUGGUAAAAUAUUCAUUUUUAAACUAGCGGGCAGUGAAAUCUUUGCUUUGUGUGCUAAAGUCAACAGUCUCACAGUUCGGGCUCCAAUAAAUGCGGCGAUGCUGCGGCUUGGAGCAGUCGGGGCGUCUCCCAAUGCAAGACUGUCCUCGCCCGGCCGUGGGCUGCGGAAGGCCCCACACCAGGAACCCAAUUGUCAAGAGCAGCAACCUAUUCACAGGUCCAAGAAUUGUGUCAGCAAUACACGGUUUCCAGUGAUUUUCAUAUUCAACCUUGGGCAAGAUGGGGUAUAUCGGGUGCAAGCACGAUGGAUGUAAAAUUCUGUAAAAGAAAGGAGAUAUGCUAAUGGCAGAAUUUUGAAGAAUGCCGGAGGUCAAGCUGUUAACAAGAAGUUGGUCCUAAAGUCAGAAUCUCCCCUAAACAAUCGGAAUGUUCAGUAUCUAUUUUGACACUGCCUGUUAUGCCCCAUGUAGGUUUUGGGAGCCAAGACACCAUGCUUAAUUCCAUUGUAAUAAGGUUUAUUUAGCCUGAACGGUUUUAUGAGGUGAAAAGGCAGAAAGUUUAACACAGAAGAAAAUUAAUGGUUUACUAAGAUUACAUUAAACAUUCACAGACAGGAAGCACACCUGCGGUAAAUACAAAGUUUAAACACUCCUUUGCUCUCUGACAAAAAUCUCAGCAACUUUAGUAUGUUUUUCCUACUGGGUGGUCAGAAGGAAAAGCUCCAAAGCAAAAGGACUCCUAUUGUGUCUAUGCUGCCUUAAGAACUGACCUCACAUGUCUCUAUAGAAGACAAACACCUGUUUAUCUCUGGUGAGCUCCUGCGUGUGUCUACACCAAUGCACAUGCUCUCAACACUGCCCCACAGUCUUCUAUCACUACAUAGAGAAGAUGGCUUUUGGAACCAGAAAAAAAAAUGUUUCCCCUCUCCCAAAAUGCACUCCUUUUUUUUUUCAAAGCAAUAAAUAUUUUUCUUUAUUUUUUAUUUCCGCCCA